Ciona intestinalis (vase tunicate) is the source of this 1379-nucleotide non-coding RNA. NCBI's taxonomy places the organism in Eukaryota, Metazoa, Chordata, Ascidiacea, Phlebobranchia, Cionidae. The record is from RefSeq and is a predicted model, not a curated record.
AGUUGCAAGUUUGCAUCUCACUUGUUGGUUGGUCAUGUUGGUAUGAUGUUGUGUUGAUGUCGCAUGGUUGCAUUUCUAGUUUGGUUCUUGGGCUUUUUGGAGGCUCAUGUUUUGUUCAAGGUUUGAUUUGCACAUUCUGUUGUGCUUUGUGGAUUGCCGAGUUUGGCAGUUAUUGUUGUUCUUCAUGUUGGUUUGGUUGGUUGCCCAUGUUGUCGGCCGGUGUUGGCAUUUUGUUUAUCGAACUUUUUUUGUUGUUUGUGUUGUUGGUCAUUUGUUCGUUUAUCCAUACUUUUGUUAAGGUUUAUGUUUUCCGAUUUAUUGUGGCUUUGUAUUUCAAGUCGGUCCAAUUCUUUGUUUGUCGUGUUUGCGGCUUUUAUUUCUUACGUUGUCCGAUUUAUUUCCAAUUAGGCAUUUUUUUAAUUUCAAUUGUUUUGUUUUUUGAUUUAUUUAAACUUUCUUGUAGGAAACAAAACGUUUUUUCCAGGUCAAGGGAAACAGUAUGUGUUGAUGAGUGACGUCUUUAGUGGUUUAUCAACAGCGUGGACGGUUACCAUAAAGCUAAGGGAGUCUUACUGUAAAGACUCAUCAUAUCAAUAUUAAGACGAAGAAAGAAGGAAAGAUGGAAUUAAUGUAUCCUGGUCCUGCAGACGGAGAGGAAGAAGAGGAGUGGAUGGAACACAAGCUUCAACACCAGUACGGUACAAAUUGUAGUACUGGGAACGGUACCGUGAAUUUAUUACUUACACGUUAAGGUUUAGGGGAGAGUUCUCGAGCGUGGGCCAACAUUUUGUUGGUAAGAUUAGCUGCACUUCGUGUGUUGUAUCAUUUUUGUUAAUCGCCGGUCCCUUUACGCUCCGUAUUUUUGUCGACUUACCACGAAGAGGCUCUCCAUAAAAUGUAAACUUUGCGCAACAAUGCUGGGUUUAGGGUUAUUCUUUUAAGUAGGGCAUAGCUUAAAAAAAUACACAUUUUCCCACAGGUGUAAAUGGUUUUAUUCCCCCACACAUUAGGGUGUAGAACUUCCCUUUCUUUUUACAGGUUCUCUCUUAUUUCCCUAUAUAGUUAUAUUAGAAUUGUUGCAGAAUGACAGUAGUGGUUAACCCGGCAGCGUAGCAUAAACACACAACGACACAAAAAAAAUCAAAAAAAUACAAAAAUACAUUUCCACUGCUUGCUCGUCGGUACCUUGUCGUGGUGCAGUGGCUUUUAAACUAAAGUCGACGAUUUAAAAUCCAUUAACCAAAUACUACGUGAAUACUAUAUCACGAACAUUUGUUUGUGGGGGAAGAUGGGAUAUUUUUUCAUUCACUCUACUCGCAUGGAAGUAAACGAAGACAGAAUUAUAUAACCAUUUCCGCACAAACCUACAUAAGAGCGCU